Molecule: unclassified non-coding RNA, 329 nt
Filed under: soil metagenome
Description: partial contains 5.8S ribosomal RNA, internal transcribed spacer 2, and large subunit ribosomal RNA
Rfam family: 5.8S ribosomal RNA (bases 1-120)
Source: RNAcentral
GAUGAAGAACGCAGCGAAAUGCGAUAAGUAAUGUGAAUUGCAGAAUUCAGUGAAUCAUCGAAUCUUUGAACGCACAUUGCGCCCCCUGGUAUUCCGGGGGGCAUGCCUGUCCGAGCGUCAUUACAACCCUCAAGCUCAGCUUGGUGUUGGGCCCCGCCGCCCCGGCGGGCCCUAAAGUCAGUGGCGGUGCCGUCCGGCUCCGAGCGUAGUAAUUCUUCUCGCUCUGGAGGUCCGGUCGUGUGCUCGCCAGCAACCCCAAAUUUUUUUCAGGUUGACCUCGGAUCAGGUAGGGAUACCCGCUGAACUUAAGCAUAUCAAUAAGCGGAGGA